CUUGGAACAUUAUAAAGGUAGACUAAAAUACAUUUCCAUGCAUUUAACCCAGAAAUGUCAAUUACCUCUGAUAGAAGUGGUUGAUUCAAUGAAAAUGCAAUACGUGGACACCUGGAUGUCACCCAUCUGCUUCCAAAAUUAUGGGCAUUGAUAUGAUGUUGGUCGUCCUUUUGCUGAUUUACAGCCUCCGGUCUUCCAAGCCUUUCCACUAAAACAUAGCUGCAGUGGUUUGCACCUGGCUCACAGUCGACGAUGUUCCAAAUCAUCCCAACACUGUUCGAUGGAGUUGAGGUAAAGGCUCUGCAGGCCAGUAAACAAGCGGUUUUUUGCAUGCUGGGAACCUAAUCAAAUUGUUAAAAGGAGCCAUUAAUUUGGAUCCAUGAUUCCCAAACUUUUUUUUUGACCUCAAAGGAAAAAUUAUUUGCAAAUGCUUACAAACAUUAUUCACUAAAAUUUUAUAUCUGCACUGCAGAAACAACAAAUAGUAGUGAGCACAUUUAACAAUUAGGACAGGAAAUACGUAACCUAUUUGAAUGUGCAUUUCACACACAUGUAACAUCAUUUUAGAGGUACUUAGCUUCCAAAGGGGGUUUGCAACUUGGCAGUGAGUGUUGCCAUGGAGGCAAAUUCAAAAACAGAGUAACAACGCCGAGUGCUGUGGCUGCCUCCGGAGAAGGACGUGAGGAUCCCUCAGCUUGCUUCGGCCUGCUUCGUCACAAACUUGUGUGGUUAGUCUCACGACGCCACACCUCCAAUCUCAUCUGGCCUCCUUGGCGGUGUGGAAACUUGCGUAUUUAAAAAAAGUUAGAUUUAGAUUGGAUGUUUAGCGACAUUCUAGGCCUGGUUUAAGAGGCUUGUGAGUGGUAAACACUUAAUUACAGAUUACAUGAAUGAAUCUGAUGAGGGAAGCCUGAUGAGCCUGGCUUGUGUCCUGUCAAGUUACUGAUUCCACUGGUCUUAUGCUCACUUUUGACCUGUUCCCCCCGGGACCUACCCAGCUUUGCAUGUUCUCUUGGAUUAUUCUCGAGAGUCUCCCCUCCUUAUCCAUCAUUGUUCCAAGAUUAGUAAACAAAAAAAACUCUCAUUAAGAAUUGUUUGAAUGUCGUCUCAAUGUCAAGUAAACAUUGGUAAUUGUAACAGAUUGUUUAAAUGAUGGAUGACCACAAAAUGAUCUGUAGGAUUAAAUCAUUUCCCCUCAUCUGUAGAGUAUAAUAAGAUUUUUUGUAGAUCCCUCAAGAUAAGAGGAUUAUAGGUGAG
Molecule: long non-coding RNA, 1257 nt
Organism: Esox lucius (northern pike)
Lineage: Eukaryota; Metazoa; Chordata; Actinopteri; Esociformes; Esocidae
Source: Ensembl